CCAUGGAUAAUAAAAUAAAUGGAUUGGACUCUAGCUGACGUAAGCAAAAACAACCUGGUUGCAAUCUGUGACGUCACGCGUAUUGCAAAAUUCUUGGCAUUUUUGUUGUUUCGCUAUAUUUUCCGCUUUAAAAGAGUAAUAUUGAAGCAUAAACUGGUCUAAUUGUUUUAAAAACAUGCCUAAGCCACGACAAAGUAUUCAGGGUAAAUGUUUUUCGUCUUUGUUUUGUAUUUUUUUUACAUUUGUAGCUACGAAAUUGGCGUCCCCAAUUUUAACGAAAUUUGCGAUGCAUUUUUCACUAUUUAGUGCUUGAAAUAUUUGCUAAAAUUGACUGGGAAUACUUAGAGAUUUCAUCGUAGAAUGGCGUAGUCAUAUUUAUUUGCUCUUUGACUAAAAUUUUUAGCUGUAUUAUUGCUAAACAUGCCGUUUUUGAGAAUUUGGUUUGCAACUAGGUUUCAACAUCCAACCACGCCAUCAGCCCAUUGAAAACAUUAGAUCACGUCAGCUAGUUUCCUAUCCAUUUAUUU
Molecule: non-coding RNA, 527 nt
Organism: Paramuricea clavata
Lineage: Eukaryota; Metazoa; Cnidaria; Anthozoa; Malacalcyonacea; Plexauridae
Source: the annotation of a GenBank genome assembly